RNAcentral lists this transfer RNA (82 nucleotides) under Belgica antarctica. RNAcentral's name for it is "tRNA IU25_tRNA_102". It matches the Rfam family "tRNA". From Rfam's summary of the family: Transfer RNA (tRNA) molecules are approximately 80 nucleotides in length. Their secondary structure includes four short double-helical elements and three loops (D, anti-codon, and T loops). The record is from RNAcentral. Lineage: Eukaryota; Metazoa; Arthropoda; Insecta; Diptera; Chironomidae.
GACAAGUUGACCGAGUGGUUAAGGUGAUGGACUGCUAAUCCAUUGGGUUCUACCCGCGUGAGUUCGAAUCUCAUACUUGUCG